UUCUGGUUAAGAGAGGUCUUGGGUUCAAGUCUCUCCGUUAGCAAUUUGAAAUUAUGUCCUUGUUUGUUGGUUCUCCUUUUAUUUGGUUCUCUGUUUGUCUCUACAUAUGCAACAUGGGGUUGCACGUGAGGGAGGGUGUUAGAUAGCUUGAUAUACAUUGUUGGGCCCAUUUCCUAAUAGCUUAGGCUUUUGGGAAAAUUGGUAACUUAACAAUUGCAUGUAUGGUGUUGCCUUUGUUAUCUUUUGUUUUUGGAGUUUAUUUAUGGAUGUGUAUUAGAUUGUUUUUGAACAAAUGGUCACUUUUUUCUCUCAUGGUAAUUUCUGGUUUGGAGGGUUGAUGGUGGUUGUUCACACAUUGUUCAUUUGAAAUCAAGUGAGUUUGCUUGGCUCCAUUCCAUGCUUAUUAUUCACACAUUGUUUUCCAUUGAUGGUAAUUUUUGCUUUACAAUGGUAAUGCAUGAUUGAUGGUUAUUGUGUGUUGUUGUGUUUGGUUGCACUGGAUUAUGCUAUUGAGAGUAAUAUACAGUUUAAACCAUUCACAUUGAACAACCUGGCUUUAACUUGCCAAAUUUGAGGUCAAGCUUACUUUUGAACAACCUACUUUAACUUGCAAAUUAUGUAUUGUUUGCCUUUUUUCCCUCCCUAUGGAAAGUUUAGGCAUUUAUUUUUGUAGUUUAAUUUCUUAUGUAAUUAAUGCAAUCCAAAUGCAAAUCCAAGUUCAAAUAGAGAGAGAAAGAAGACAAAUGCCCCAAUUAGGGGUAAAACCCCCAAGGGCUAGAGAGAGAAAUCAAGUUCUACUCCAAUCACAAUGUAUAUUUCUUUUAAUCCAAAACUACGUAUAAUGGUAUUACGUCACCUAUUUUUAUAGACUACCACUAGGCUAAACCUAAUAUGCUAUUUAAUAGACACUUAACCUAUUUAUUCUACUACAUUAGACUUUCCCUUUUUAAGAAAUUUGUCCUCAAUUUUAAGUAGCAACUAAGUGAGCUCAAUGUAGGAGAGGAAUAGGCGUUGCAUCUCAUCUCCAUGCGCAACACAAACAUAGCACUCGCCUGUGCUACAUGGACUCACUGGUUUAGGGCAGAGUACUCAUGUUGACAUGACAUGACACAGGUGCAAGUGUGAGAUCUAUGUCGGACUCGGCUUUGGUUUCUCGGACACGACUGACAAGAGAGGAGUGAAUAAAGGUUGUUGAGAAACUUACAGUGGUAGCAGCACCUUUGUCACCGGAGGUUGCAAGCCUCUGCUCUGUCGUCGCAAGCCUUUGUUGUCGGAGGUCGCAAGCCUUUGUCGUCGAAGAGCUGAGAAAAAAUGAAAAAAAAAAGAAAGAUUGAAUUGAGAGAAGCCUUUGUCGUCGGAGGUCGCAAGCCUUUGUCGUCAGAGAACUGAGAAAGAAUGAAAAAGAAAGAAAGAUUGAACUGAGAGAGAGAGAGAGAGAGAGAGAGAGCUAAUAAAAGAUUUAAUAUAUAUAUAUAUAUAUUUUUUAUUCUCUAUUUUGAUAUUCAAUUUCAAAUCUGAGACUGAGAUAUGUUCCGUCUUCUCAUGGGUCGAGGUCUUCACAUGGCUCUAGAAAAGUUGAAAAAUGUGUAUAAUUAUGAUAAGAGGGAAUGGAUAUACACCUAAUAAUUAUAUAGGGUAAAUUAUCAAUAGAUCCUACUUUUGGAACUUAUUACCCAUUAAGUCCUAUUGAUAAAUUUACCAGUCUCUUGUUUUUAUGAAUAAAUAUAUCAACCAUGACCUGUAGGUAAAUAAGUCUAGUUAAUAAGGCUGAUUGGUUAUUUUAGAGAUAUUUAAUUUUUUUAUUAAAUAUUUUAUUUCUUAUUUAUAUGAUAUGUGAGACCUACAAAAUAUGACAAUGUGAAUAAAAAUAAAAUAGAAAAUAGAAAAUUUUUAUUAUUGCAUAAUAAUUAUACAAAAAAAUUUCAAAGAAUGAUGUGGUAAUAUUAUUAUUGUAAAUAAAUGUACCUUUAAUAGUGCUUUGUUUUGAAGUGAAUGGUCCAUAAUGAACCACAUCAUUAUGUAUUAAUUUUUUGUUCAUAUAGCAUUACUAUUUUUAGUACAUUUUAUUUUUUAGUUACAAUAUAGAAUAUCCUAUUAAUAUUUCACGUGCCGUGUCCUCAUAUCUGGAUUUAGUUUUUGGAUACUUUUUAGUCGAGUCCCCGUACCCUCACUUUUUAGGAAUAGGCGAAUCUAACAGUUAGACAUAUUCGUAUCUGACACCCGCACCAGAGUCCAUGCAACAUAGGCGCUUGCAACUCAUCCUUCCUUGAAUACAUGGAAUUACAUCCUUAGCUAGACAACCAUAAGGGCAAAUUGACAAUCCCCAUCAUGCUCAUACCAUACUCUCUUGCUAAAGCUUGGACAAACCUCCCGUAGUGGAGGUCCGGGUUGAGGCCGUGUCACAAUCGACUUGUAACGCUUGGCGUUGUACCCUUUUAGGGAAUAAAAUUGUGCCUUCAUCACUACUAAUAGGUUUUGGUGAGAUGGUAAGCGCAUGAUCCUACAGAGCAUCAUUACCAGCAACGUACUCAACUCAAGCCAACAUCUUAUAGAGGCAUAUAGAAGCAAGAAACACACACACACACUCACAGACACAACUUCAAAGAAGCUCUUUGAAGAUAGCCUCAAAUAAACUCUUUGCAGCUUUCAAAAAUAUUCAUUUGUUUCAUGUCAAUUUGUUGAUUUUGAGUUUGAUUUGGAUUAGCAUCUUCUUUUCUUCACCUAAAUUUGGAACAUAAGCCCUAUCACCACCUUUCCGUCAAUCUCACGCCUAGUCGAACAAAGAAUUCCAAUCUCAACUGGUCGAACUUCAAUCUUCAACAACAGGUUGCGAAAUCUGCCAAACGAAGGUUGCAAAUAACUUGAGAUGCACUAGAAUGGACUACGACUAUGAACCAAGGUUGUUGCUGACAAAAUCGAACAUCCAGCAAUUCAAGGUUGCAAAGACCAUCUUUCAGACUCAGUGCGUAAGGUAACAUCGAACUAGAGAGUCUAGUUCAAAACCAAACCAAAGAGAGUGAUCUAGGGCAAAAUCCCAACUGUGAACGCAACUAGAUCACUAAUACCCAACCAAAUCGAAGAAGAGAGAGACCAGGUUUGGAACAGAGAGUCGAAAGGCCAAAGCAAUCAAGUACGAAGUCCAUAUCAAUGAGAAAGACUUAUGAUCAAUCGGGAGUACACCCUUGCUAGCAAAAACCCGUGAACGAUUUGCGAAAUUGAUAUCCAGAACAGAACCAGAUUAGUUCCCGACUUCAGACUCACGAAGAACUCCAAAUCGCAAGUCAAAAAUCGAUGGAAUCAAAAGAACAAGAGUUGUAACUGUGCAUCGAAGCUUCAGAAUCGAUUUGAACCGACUGGAAUCAAGUUUUCGGGUCCCACCCAAGACUUUUGGGUCGGUUUCGGAUCUUUACCCAAGACUUUCGAUUCGAUUCGAUUCGGAUCUCACCUAAGACUUUUAGAUCAAUUUAGGAUCUUCUUUUGGGUGUCAGAUUCGAGUUUAGACUGCAACUAGGGCUGCGAAUCGAAGUCAGAUCUUUGAUUAUGGCUUUGGAUCAAAAUCAGAAUCGAGUCUCACAACUUAGGGUUCACAAGUCUUCACGAAUCAACCAGUGGCAAAGUUGGAGCUUCAGCAUGAGUCGUAGACUAAUCAAUGGCUCAAACUAGGUAUUCUGAAGGUGUCGAACUUGAGUCAAAGGAACCAAAUUGCGAUCGCGAUGUGUCCAACAAACUUUGAAUCGAUGUGUUCUUUGAUUCUGAAAUCGCAAUGUGAACAGUAACUUCGAAUCGUGUGUAAUCACGAUGGGUUCGUCGCUUCUAGAAAUGGAAGUGAAUUUCACAGAUUCUGGGUUUCAACUCCGAAGGAAGCUUCCAAAUUCACAAACAAGGAUUUCGAAUAUAACCCAGGUAUUAUGAACCAUAAUUGAGCUUAAAUCCUUCUACAACUAGUCUAAAUAAGGUGAUGGGGUGGUCAAGAACUAGGUCAAGUUCUCAGGCUCUAAUACCAAAUAAUGCAAUCCAAAUGCAAAUCAAAGAUUAAAUAGUGAGAGAGAAGACAAAUGCCCAGCUAGGGGGAAAACCCCUAAGGGCUAGAGCUAUGAAGCACGGGUAUGAGUAUUGGUACAAUACAUGUACGUCGAUACGGUAAAAUUUUUUUUAAAAAAAAUAGAGUAUAGGUACGGCUUAGGCUUAGUACGUUUGUAAAAAAAAAUAUUUAUUUUUAAUUUGGAGUAAUGCAAAAAUUGAUUAAAUGGUUUAAUUUGUUAAGAUCCAACCUACAAAUAACAUUUGAUGCCGAAAAUAAAUGUAUAAACCAAAAUUAAAUGUCAUUAUAUUAAAUAACUUACAAAUCAUAGUUUAAUUUUAAAAUCUUGCUGAGCAUAAAACUAAAAAUAAAAAACAAGUCUAGUGAAAUGAAUUUUAUCUCUGUAGUAGAAGAAAAUAUUAUUUCGAUGGAGGUACGGUACGAUACGACUUAGAUAUAUAUUCCAAAAAUUAAGAAAAAAAAUUUGAGUACGUGUUUCGUGUACCCGAUACGUAUGCAGAAAUACCAUACGAAAUACCAGUAUCCAGUAUGGGUACGACAUGUUUGUUGAAGUACCCUUGCUUCAUAGGGUUAAAGAGAGAAACCAAGUUUUACUCCAAUUACAAUGUAUAUUUGUUUUAAUCCAAAACUAAGUACAAUGGUAUUACAAUACCUAUUUAUAUAGACUACCAGUCUACAACUAAGCUACAACUAAUAGGCUAUUUAACAGACACUUAACCUAUUUAUUCUACUGCAUCAGUAAUGUUUAGACGUAUUAUUAUGAACAAUGAGACUGACCUUGACAAUGAUCUUAGCACUAUAAGAGUCAACCUUCUCAAAUCUCCAUCAAAUAGUAUCCACCGUGGAAAUUAUAUAACUGCGAGCCAUGAAAAUUUUUAAAAAAAUGAAGUUAAGAGUAAAUAGAGUUGGAGAUUUGUAAAAAUGAAAGGUUAAAUGGUUUUUAUUAGCAUAGACCAUCAAGAAUAGGACCGUUGAGAGAAUAUAACCAUUUAACAAUAUGACCGUUGAGAGAAUAUGACUUAAAAUUAUGAUCAUUGAAAACAAUGACUGUUACCAAAUGCAACAUCAACACGCAUGUCAACCUAUUUGGCAUGCCAUGAAAAAUGUAAGCAUUUUUUAUUUUGUGUGUGUGUUGUGUAGUAUUUUUGUUUUGAAAAUUGUGUAGGUUAGUUUAAAUCACUAGCUAAAAUAAAGAGUCCGUUGAAGUAUAUAUUAGGUAAAUAGUGAGGCAAAAUAAUUUUAAAAAAAGGUACUUUUAUUUGGCAAAAUACGUAGCAGUAUUGAAGUUAUUCAAGCUUCUCAAUUUUAAAAUCUUAAUGGAUAUUCUUAAAUGGGUUUGGUUUUAAUUUUUUUGCCAGUUAUUUUCACUUUUGUGUGCUUUUACACAGCGUUAUAGCUCUUUUAUUAAGUUUUUUUUUUUUUUAUUGAUUUUUUGAAUCGCCUUUUUGCAUUUUUUGUUAAAUUAUUUUAGCCAUGUAUCACUUUUAAGAGAGCUUAUAUUUGUACACCACAUUUUUUCAUAAUUCACGCUAUUUUUUUUUUUUUUUUUUUUUUUUUUUUUUUUUUUUAAUUACGAUUGUUCCUCAAACAAAUGAUACAUAGCCCCUGUUGCCACCACCAGCCACUGCCACUUCCUUAUCUGCCCCCAUGAUCGUAACCCCCACUUAUAAGCCUUAUAGGCCUAAUGCUUCUAUGGUUUAAGUAGUUUUACUUUGUGAUCACUGCUAUAACGUAAUAGGAUAUCAUACAAAGCACUUGAAUGCCAUGCAUGCCUUUGUAUGGGGUGCCUCUAUUUACUCCACAAAAAUAUCGCAUUCCAUCCUCUAGUGUUUUCUUUUUAUACAAUUUUUUGUCUACAUAAAAUUACUUGAAACUCUCAAACUCUAAAAUCUUAAUUUCUCUACCAACCCAACCCAACCCCUCCCCACUACCUACCACCCAUUGUUGCCGGUGCUACCCCUUCUUCAGCCAGUCGUUCCCUCUACUUAUUCCCUUCACCAUUGGUAGAAGGUUGAAGAGGGAUUGGUUCAUGGUGGUGGAGGCUGAGGGGGUUGGUCACGGUAGUGGGAGGAGGAGUUGUUUCUAUGGCUGGGGAGCUGGGGAAGGGCUCUAAUGGUGGAGAAGGUGGUGAUUGUGGAGAAGGGCUGUCAUGAGGGAGUAACCAAAGCCAAUUGGUAUAUGGAAAUGAGUUCUUCAGUAACUUAGUUUAAUUUCAACGCCACCUCUUGAAAGAGUUCCCAUAAUAACCCAUCUUUCAGCAUACCGUAAAGAGAAGGUAAUAUCAGCAAUCAAGUAUGAACUGGACCAUCGUGGACAAGGUAUCUAUGUACUGCCUCGUAUCAAAGGGUCCAAACCCACUCUCAUGUAAGAAGAAAAAGAAUUGUGGGCAUGCAAAAGCAAAUCUUGUUUCAGAAAAGUUUAAAGAUCAAUAUUUGUGGAGCUAACGGGAGAUGGUGUCUGUGAAGCCUUAGUCAAAGGAUUCAAGGCUUGUGAAGUGGAUACAAAACAAAAGAAGUUUCAAUUCAGAGGAAGGGUCAAAACCUACGGUUUAUUACUUGGUGCUGCUGUUAUAGCUGUAGGAGGAUCCUUUGUCAGGUGCAAAAAAGAAGUGGGUGAGACUUGAGUUCAAAGUGUAACAGGAAUGUAAUUUAUGCUGAUGGGGAUUUUAGUCAUAGUUUUUUGUUAAUGUAGUUUUGGGUUUCUCCCAAGUUCUGAUUAAGCAUGAUGUUUGCACCAUUAUAACUUCAAAUUCGGCUUGAUGUAGUCUUGAACUUGGAUCAUCAAUCUCUUGUUUUUCCUUCUUGCUUUCCAGUUCCUUUUAAAUUUUUACAGGCAGAGGUCUUAUAAUUUUGUAGACUGAAGCAACAGUAAUCAGAGUGGAUUAAGAAUGCCGUGAUUCUUUUGGCCAUAAAAA
This is a non-coding RNA of Camellia sinensis, 6956 nucleotides long. The record is from RefSeq and is a predicted model, not a curated record. NCBI's taxonomy places the organism in Eukaryota, Viridiplantae, Streptophyta, Magnoliopsida, Ericales, Theaceae.